This 492-nucleotide ribosomal RNA is filed under the name uncultured bacterium. RNAcentral's name for it is "partial 16S ribosomal RNA". It matches the Rfam family "Bacterial small subunit ribosomal RNA", at positions 29 to 507 of the family's 1533-position model. The record is from RNAcentral.
AGUGAACGCUGGCGGUAGGCCUAACACAUGCAAGUCGAACGGCAGCACAGUAAGAGCUUGCUCUUACGGGUGGCGAGUGGCGGACGGGUGAGGAAUACAUCGGAAUCUACUUUUUCGUGGGGGAUAACGUAGGGGAAAUUACGCUAAUACCGCAUACCACCUUCGGGUGAAAGCAGGGGAUAUUCGGACCUUGCGCGGUUGAAUGAGCCGAUGUCGGAUUAGCUAGUUGGCGGGGUAAAGGCCCACCAAGGCGACGAUCCGUAGCUGGUCUGAGAGGAUGAUCAGCCACACUGGAACUGAGACACGGUCCAGACUCCUACGGGAGGCAGCAGUGGGGAAUAUUGGACAAUGGGCGCAAGCCUGAUCCAGCCAUACCGCGUGGGUGAAGAAGGCCUUCGGGUUGUAAAGCCCUUUUGUUGGGAAAGAAAAGCAGCAGGUUAAUACCCCGCUGUUCUGACGGUACCCAAAGAAUAAGCACCGGCUAACUUCGUG